RNAcentral lists this ribosomal RNA (253 nucleotides) under uncultured bacterium. RNAcentral's name for it is "partial 16S ribosomal RNA". It matches the Rfam family "Bacterial small subunit ribosomal RNA", at positions 524 to 776 of the family's 1533-position model. The record is from RNAcentral.
UACGUAGGUGGCAAGCGUUGUCCGGAUUUACUGGGCGUAAAGAGCGCGCAGGCGGUCGUGCAAGUCGCGUGUGAAAGCCCUCGGCUCAACCGAGGAAUUGCGCCCGAAACUGCUGGGCUUGAGUGAGACAGAGGUGAGCGGAACUGAUGGUGGAGCGGUGAAAUGCGUUGAUAUCGGGAGGAACACCUGAGGCGAAGGCGGGCUACUGGGCUGAUACUGACGCUGAGGCGCGAAAGCUAGGGGAGCAAACGGG